Molecule: unclassified non-coding RNA, 336 nt
Filed under: soil metagenome
Description: partial contains 5.8S ribosomal RNA, internal transcribed spacer 2, and large subunit ribosomal RNA
Rfam family: 5.8S ribosomal RNA (bases 1-120)
Source: RNAcentral
GAUGAAGAACGUAGCGAAAUGCGAUAAGUAGUGUGAAUUGCAGAAUUCAGUGAAUCAUCGAAUCUUUGAACGCACAUUGCGCCCCUUGGUAUUCCAUGGGGCAUGCCUGUUCGAGCGUCAUUUGUACCUUCAAGCUUUGCUUGGUGUUGGGUGUUUGUCUCGCCUUUGCGUGUAGACUCGCCGUAAAAUAAUUGGCAGCCGGCGUAUUGAUUUCGGAGCGCAGUACAUCUCGCGCUUUGCACUCAUAACGACAGCGUCCAAAAGUACAUUUUACACUCUUGACCUCGUAUCAGGUAGGGAUACCCGCUGAACUUAAGCAUAUCAAUAAGCGGAGGA